RNAcentral lists this ribosomal RNA (253 nucleotides) under uncultured bacterium. RNAcentral describes it as "partial 16S ribosomal RNA". It matches the Rfam family "Bacterial small subunit ribosomal RNA", at positions 524 to 776 of the family's 1533-position model. The record is from RNAcentral.
UACGAAGGGGGCUAGCGUUGUUCGGAAUUACUGGGCGUAAGGCGUGCGCAGGCGGCUUCUCAAGUCAGGGGUGAAAGCCCAGAGCUCAACUCUGGAAUUGCCUUUGAGACUGAGUGGCUUGAGUACGGGAGAGGUGAGUGGAAUUCCCAGUGUAGAGGUGAAAUUCGUAGAUAUUGGGAAGAACACCGGUGGCGAAGGCGGCUCACUGGCCCGUAACUGACGCUCAUGCACGACAGCGUGGGGAUCAAACAGG